RNAcentral lists this ribosomal RNA (681 nucleotides) under Heterorhabditis indica. Its description in RNAcentral is "partial large subunit ribosomal RNA". It matches the Rfam family "Eukaryotic large subunit ribosomal RNA", at positions 370 to 1391 of the family's 3401-position model. Lineage: Eukaryota; Metazoa; Nematoda; Chromadorea; Rhabditida; Heterorhabditidae. The record is from RNAcentral.
CGCGAGUUGAAGAGAGAGUUCAAGAGAACGUGAAAUCGCUGAAGUGGAACCGGAGAGAGUUAACAUAACUUGGUAGCUAUAUUCUCUAUAUAGUCGCUUAGCUGUGGCUUUGGGGGGUGGACGCUACCUGUUGUUGCGCUGACUGCGUUGAUCAUGCUUUCCUAACAAGGUGUAGUGUUGCCCACAUUGUGGUGUCUUGCUUAUUGGGAGGUUUGUCAUGGUUAACGUCAAGCCUUAGUUUCUAGGGAGUCAGUGUGAAAGUUAACCACCUUUCCGACCCGUCUUGAAACACGGACCGAGGAGUGUAAUUUACACGCGAGUCAAAGGGCUCGAGGAAACCUUAUGGCAUAAUGAAAGUAAAGACCGGUUAACCGGUUGACAUGGGAUCCGACUGAACUUCUUCGAAACGGAGCACCAUGGCCCUGUCUUGUCUGCUUGCAGAUGGGCAGCGGUAGAGCGUGUAGGUUGCGACCCGAAAGAUGGUGAACUAUGCUUGAGCAGGACGAAGCCAGAGGAAACUCUGGUGGAAGUCCGUAUCGGUUCUGACGUGCAAAUCGAUCGAUAGACUUGAGUAUAGGGGCGAAAGACUAAUCGAACCGUCUACAGGUAGUGUACAAAUCGAUCGAUAGACUUGAGUAUAGGGGCGAAAGACUAAUCGAACCGUCUACAGGUAGUGUACUA